Molecule: ribosomal RNA, 253 nt
Filed under: uncultured bacterium
Lineage: Bacteria
Description: partial 16S ribosomal RNA
Rfam family: Bacterial small subunit ribosomal RNA
Source: RNAcentral
UACGUAGGGUGCAAGCGUUGUCCGGAAUUAUUGGGCGUAAAGCGUCCGCAGGUGGCAGUUCAAGUCUGCUGUCAAAGACCGGGGCUUAACUUCGGAAAGGCAGUGGAAACUGAACAGCUAGAGUAUGGUAGGGGCAGAGGGAAUUCCUGGUGUAGCGGUGAAAUGCGUAGAGAUCAGGAAGAACAUCGGUGGCGAAGGCGCUCUGCUGGACCAUAACUGACACUCAGGGACGAAAGCUAGGGGAGCGAAUGGG